CACACACACACACACACACACACACACACACACACACACACACACACACUCCUCCCUAACGUUCAUUCCGCUCUAACAGGUGACGGUGAAGGUGUGUGUGUGAGCUGAUGUGGACGUGAAUUCAGCAGAAUGGACCAGUGUGAGGACAGAGAGGACGGAGUCCCUCCCUCUAAAACCUCUCUGUGUGGGGAACAUGAGAGUCGGAGCAAAGCUCAGAGGAAUCAACCUGGACCUGGACCUGGACCUGGACCUGGACCUGGACCUGGACC
This is a long non-coding RNA of Cololabis saira (Pacific saury), 269 nucleotides long. RefSeq lists it as uncharacterized. The record is from RefSeq and is a predicted model, not a curated record. The transcript is spliced from 3 exons. NCBI's taxonomy places the organism in Eukaryota, Metazoa, Chordata, Actinopteri, Beloniformes, Belonidae.